UACGAAGGGUGCAAGCGUUAAUCGGAAUUACUGGGCGUAAAGCGCGCGUAGGUGGUUCGUUAAGUUGAAUGUGAAAGCCCCGGGCUCAACCUGGGAACUGCAUCCAAAACUGGCGAGCUAGAGUAUGGCAGAGGGUGGUGGAAUUUCCUGUGUAGCGGUGAAAGGCGUAGAUAUAGGAAGGAACACCAGUGGCGAAGGCGACCACCUGGGCUAAUACUGACACUGAGUUGCUACAGCGUGGGUAGCCAACCGGAUUAGAUCCC
This 263-nucleotide ribosomal RNA is filed under the name uncultured bacterium. Its description in RNAcentral is "partial 16S ribosomal RNA". It matches the Rfam family "Bacterial small subunit ribosomal RNA", at positions 524 to 786 of the family's 1533-position model. The record is from RNAcentral.